GUCACGAGGCUGAUUGUGGCUAUAGUCAUCGAAGAUUGAGAGGAGAUUUUAAAUCUUAUUGUUAUGCAUAGCAUAUUUUAAAAAUUAAAAUUAUAUUGGUUUAUCAUCUAUUAUUGUUAUAUUGGUAAUUUACUAAGCUCGUAAAACUCAUUCUCUGUUUUCUAACCUUUUUUUAGAUUCAGAAGAUACUAUAGGGCUUGGGACCGAGCAGUGAGGAGCAUAGGA
Molecule: long non-coding RNA, 225 nt
Filed under: Elaeis guineensis (African oil palm)
Lineage: Eukaryota; Viridiplantae; Streptophyta; Magnoliopsida; Arecales; Arecaceae
Description: long non-coding RNA (EGUI_LNC041923)
Source: RNAcentral